GAGAGACAACAGAUUUACAUCCCAGACACAUUCACACUGGGCCAAGAGCAGCUGCCAUUGCAGAUUCCAGUCACGUCCUUUUUUUCCCUCCUUCUCCUUCUUGGAGUUACAACAGAAGCUGGAGAGGUGAGAGUGCUG
Molecule: unclassified non-coding RNA, 138 nt
Organism: Chlorocebus sabaeus (green monkey)
Lineage: Eukaryota; Metazoa; Chordata; Mammalia; Primates; Cercopithecidae
Source: Ensembl